Nicotiana tabacum (common tobacco) is the source of this 1456-nucleotide long non-coding RNA. RefSeq lists it as uncharacterized. The record is from RefSeq and is a predicted model, not a curated record. Lineage: Eukaryota; Viridiplantae; Streptophyta; Magnoliopsida; Solanales; Solanaceae.
AUCUCAUUUGACAAAACUUGUAUCGAAUUUCCAUGAAAGUAAAAGAUCACUCCAAACAGGAGAUCACGUGACUAAAGCUUUUGAGAAUGGCGAACGGGCAUUUCUUUCUUUUUCCUUGUAAGCCUUCUUUGGACUUCAAUUUGCAUUUGUAUUGCUUCGCUUAUUGGUAUGUUGCUGGACAAAAAGAAAUUUAUGGUCGCGAUAGUGUAAGCUUGCAGGAACAGAUGCCUUUCGGGGAAAGACAUUCUUGUCGAAGGGUGCAUAUUGGCAGCUUGGUGGUGAUGGUACAUCUUCUGGCCUUGAAUAUGAAUAUAUGAUGAUCAGCAAAUAAGUCUUACGGUAGGAUUUAUAGGAAUGAUGGGCGACAAAGUAUUUGUCACGUACGUGGAAGGAAUCUGAUGUCGCUUCAGGUUCAGUGACUCCAGUCUUUUCUUACCUUUUUAAUAGCAAGUAAUGAUUCUUUACUAUUCCUCACAGUAUAUAACAUUGUUUUACAUUUGGUUAAACAAAGGUGUCAGCUACAACUCUAUAUAUAUCUCAUUGUUUUCUUUGACCAAAUCCACAAAAAAGAUAUAAGGCAAGAUUCUAUGGAUUUAACUGAACCAAUUGUUUUCUGCUCGAACCAGGUAUAUAUACGAAGAAAAAAACAUUUAAAAUGUAUAUAUAUAAUAAGAUUACACUCAUUGUAAACUCAAUGAUUCUAGAUCCUGAAUUUGCCUCCGACUCUCAACCAAUCUAAUUUUCAUAGCAGCUAAAGAUAAAGGUGUUGGUUUUACACAUUUAUGGGUCCAGAAUGCAAGUUCGCUUUCUAAUCUACGGGAAAGGCACCAUGCAUUAUAUUCCUCUGCACUAUAAGUUCCUGAAACACUUACACACCUUACAAUAGGUACAAGAAUUGAUCCAGCAAAGACUUUUUUCUAUGCAAACAUAUUCUUUAUCUGGCAAAGUUUGGGAACCAUAUUCCGAGAAGUAAUAGUGGAAUAUUUUUUUUUCCUGAUGGAGACGGGAGGAAUCCACUAUCUAUGAUGUCUUGAAAACUACAACACCAUCUACGCUUUCGAAUGGAAGAUUCUAUUGACUGCAGCAUCUAGUACUGGGAAUUAGAUACAUGGAAGAAAAAAAGGCAAAAAGGGGCGGAGGCAGGAUCGAGGACCAGUGGAUUCAAAAAAAUGCUAAAAUGACACAUCUGGAAGUUUUCCUUGUUUUAAUAAGAUUCAACAUUCAAUAUAUAUACGUAAGAAAAGAUUUCACCUAUGCAUAGGGUAACUUUCAACAAAAGGAAUUCAAUUGAGCGCCAUCGGGCCAAUGUGACUCCGCCACUGCUUUGAAGGACCCAAGCUCUUUUCUAAUAAGCAUGUCACAAGAAAGUACUUAAUUUAUCCUUGGUGUUGCCAAAAAGCCAUGACUGUUGUUUCUCGCUUUUUUCAUACAGUUUAGAAUAGAACCCCAUUUGCUC